CCUACGGGUGGCAGCAGUGAGGAAUAUUGGUCAAUGGACGCAAGUCUGAUCCAGCCAUGCCGCGUGCAGGAAGACGGCUCUAUGAGUUUUAAACUGCUUUUGUACGAGGGUAAACGCAGAUACGCGUAUCUGUCUGAAAGUAUCGUACGCAUAAGGAUCGGCUAACACCGUGCCAGCAGCCGCGGUAAUACGGAGGGUUCAAGCGUUAUCCGGAUUUAUUGGGUUUAACGGGUGCGUAGGCGGUCGCAUAAGUUAGAGGUGAAAUCCGGAGGCUCAACUUCGGAAUUGCCUCUGAUACUGUUCGGCUAGAGAGCAGAUGCGGUAAGUGGAAUGUAUGGUGUAGCGGUGAAAUGCUUAGAGAUCAUACAGAACACCGAUUGCGAAGGCAGCUUACCAAGCUGCUUCUGACGUUGAGGCACGAAAGCAUGGGGAGCAAACAGGAUUAGAUACCCCAGUAGUC
This 460-nucleotide ribosomal RNA is filed under the name uncultured bacterium. RNAcentral's name for it is "partial 16S ribosomal RNA". It matches the Rfam family "Bacterial small subunit ribosomal RNA", at positions 338 to 795 of the family's 1533-position model. The record is from RNAcentral.